This 99-nucleotide non-coding RNA is filed under the name Streptomyces thermolilacinus. RNAcentral describes it as "Glycine sequence". It matches the Rfam family "Glycine riboswitch aptamer". From Rfam's summary of the family: This family represents the bacterial glycine riboswitch. Lineage: Bacteria; Bacillati; Actinomycetota; Actinomycetes; Kitasatosporales; Streptomycetaceae. The record is from RNAcentral.
UGACCCCGUGCGGGAGAGUCCUCCGGAGAAGUCGUCCGGAGGCGCCGAAGGAGCAAAUCCUCCCCGGAAUCUCUCAGGCCCCCGUACCGCACGGACGAG